UACGUAGGGUGCAAGCGUUAAUCGGAAUUACUGGGCUGUGAAAGCGUGCGCAGGCGGUGAUGUAAGACAGAUGUGAAAUCCCCGGGCUCAACCCUGGGAACUGCAUUUGUGACUGCAUAGCUAGAGUACGGUAGAGGGGGAUGGAAUUCCGCGUGUAGCAGUGAAAUGCGUAGAUAUGCGGAGGAACACCGAUGGCGAAGGCAAUCCCCUGGACCUGUACUGACGCUUAUGCACGAAAGGCGUGGGGAGCAAACAGG
Molecule: ribosomal RNA, 257 nt
Filed under: uncultured bacterium
Lineage: Bacteria
Description: partial 16S ribosomal RNA
Rfam family: Bacterial small subunit ribosomal RNA
Source: RNAcentral